UUCCCCCUUCAUUAUUCACUGUCACCUAUCCCAUCUCUUUUUUGUUUUCUGUUCCCUCAAUCAGAAAAAGCAUCUCUCUUUCUCUUCUCCCUCUCCCACGCCACAUUUCUUCUUCUUCUUCCUCUCUGCAACAACCACAAAACACACCAAAACUUACAAACGUGACAAACCAACUACACCAUUGUGAUCAUCUCAGUCCCACGAUCACAACCAUGUCCUUGAAAUCUGAUGUAGACAAGUUUUGACUCACCAACUCGGAAGGUCGACUCGGCGAGUUCGACAUAUCAAUUUCCAGGCCAUGCAUGACUUAGAGCAAUGCUUUGGAAUCCAGGUUCACGAACUAAACAAUCUAAGAGGGUAGACGGGAUGAGAUCGGAUUAAGUAAACUCGAGAAAAAGGAGAACCUGCCAUUUUUCACUCAAGAACCGUGGCCAUUUGGUCACUUUCAUACCAUUUUUCUGGUCAACCUCGACCACAAUUGGACUUCUACUAGGGGAAACUUAUUCCAAGGAUUUUCGAGGCCAAGCUAGGCUCGGGGGCUACGACCCAGCGACGUACUUGACCUAGAUAGCUGUACUUUCUGUGGCACUUAAGGAAUCAUAGCAGUUCCGACAUUUCCUUCUGUUUAGACGUACAAACUUAUCACUAUUAUGUAAUAAGUGUA
RNAcentral lists this small RNA (664 nucleotides) under Malus domestica (apple). RNAcentral's name for it is "sRNA MD10G0093600". Lineage: Eukaryota; Viridiplantae; Streptophyta; Magnoliopsida; Rosales; Rosaceae. The record is from RNAcentral.